Molecule: ribosomal RNA, 118 nt
Filed under: Paraclostridium sordellii
Lineage: Bacteria; Bacillati; Bacillota; Clostridia; Peptostreptococcales; Peptostreptococcaceae
Also listed under: 1 other name
Description: partial 23S ribosomal RNA
Rfam family: Bacterial large subunit ribosomal RNA
Source: RNAcentral
UGGUCAAGUUAUUAAGGGCGCAGGGCGGAUGCCUUGGCACUAAGAGCCGAUGAAGGACGCGAUAAGCUGCGAUAAGCUUCGGGGAGUUGCACGUAAACUUUGAUCCGAAGAUUUCCGA